UUGUGGUUAAAAAGCUCGUAGUUGGAUCUCGGCGGACUGAGGGCGGUUUGCUUGCUAGUAUUACUGCCCUAUAGUCCGUAGUUUUGCCAGAGGUUUCGGGGUGCUCUUAAUCGAGUGUCCCGGGAUGCUGGCAGGUUUACUUUGAAAAAAUUAGAGUGCUCAAAGCAGGCUAUUACGCCUGAAUAUUCGUGCAUGGAAUAAUAGAAUAGGAAGUCGUUUCUAUUUUGUUGGUUUUCGGAAAUCGACUUAAUGAUUAAUAGUGACAGUCGGGGGCAUUUGUAUUCAAACGACAGAGGUGAAAUUCUUGGACCGUUUGAAGACAAACUACUGCGAAAGCAUUUGCCAAGAAUGUUCUCAUUAAUCAAGAACGAAAGUUAAAGGUUCGAAAGGCGAUUAGAUACCGCCCCUAGUUUUAACCAUAAACGAUGCCAGCUAGCGAUCUGCGGAC
Molecule: ribosomal RNA, 448 nt
Filed under: uncultured marine eukaryote
Lineage: Eukaryota
Description: SSU rRNA
Rfam family: Eukaryotic small subunit ribosomal RNA
Source: RNAcentral